This 442-nucleotide ribosomal RNA is filed under the name uncultured bacterium. Its description in RNAcentral is "bacterial SSU rRNA". It matches the Rfam family "Bacterial small subunit ribosomal RNA", at positions 958 to 1398 of the family's 1533-position model. The record is from RNAcentral.
AACGCGAAGAACCUUACCUGGGCUCGAACGGCUGGUUAACGCCGGUGGAAACAUCGGUACUCCGCAAGGAGGUCCAGUCGAGGUGCUGCAUGGCUGUCGUCAGCUCGUGUCGUGAGAUGUUGGGUUAAGUCCCGCAACGAGCGCAACCCUUGUCCUGUGUUGCCAUCAUUCAGUUGGGAACUCGCAGGAGACCGCCAGGGAUAACCUGGAGGAAGGUGGGGAUGACGUCAAGUCCUCAUGGCCUUUAUGUCCAGGGCUACACACGUGCUACAAUGGCCGGUAUAAACCGCUGCAAACCCGCGAGGGGGAGCUAAUCGGAAAAAGCCGGCCUCAGUUCGGAUCGCAGUCUGCAACUCGACUGCGUGAAGCUGGAAUCGCUAGUAAUCGCAGAUCAGAAUGCUGCGGUGAAUACGUUCCCGGGCCUUGUACACACCGAGACGAC